GAAAAAUCAACACUGCAACGGGAGUCUAGAUGGGCUGGGAAGGAAAAUCACAUGAGACUUCGUUGGUGUCCUGGGAGGACAGGAUGAGCACUUCCACCCUCGAGUGCAUUUGUAUUUCAGGACUUCCAGUUGAGUGGUGUCCACAGCAGGUCACUGAGAUGUGAGCGUGGAGAGAGGAGCCUGCAUGACCAGACUAGAACUCAGGGAGCUGGCGCUUCUCAAAUUCCUGUUGAUCCAAAGCAAAUUCACCUCAGAAGGGGAGAGCGCACUUACUGCCAAGAGAAGACUGUGACUCACACCUCGAAUAGACCGUCUUUCUUUUUGCAAGGAGGAGGCCCGGAAGGAUGUCUCACUGGGAUCUCGGGGAGCACAUGAGACAGCAGAGGCACCCAGGAAGAGGUGGGAGAGAGUGAAGAUUUCCAGCACGCUGUGAUGUUUCACUUUAACAACCGCAGGAGGAGGAUGUGAUGUUAUCUCCAUUGAUGGAGACACUUUGGAGACAUGGAGAGGUUAAGAAACUUUCUCGAGGUCAUGCAGUAGGAGGUGGCAGCCCAGGGUUCAGCUUCAGUCCAACUGCCUUUUCACCAGUGUUCCUGCUUUGCUUCCCCAGAUGCGCAGCUGACCCUCUUAUCUCAGCUGACAUGGUUAAAAGUGAGAAUGGAUGGAUCCCGUGCAGGGAAGGCCCGUGACAUCAAACCCAACCCUCGCCCUCAAAGUGGAAUAAUCCGUACUCUCCAAAGGAGUCUCUGAUGGUGAUUUGAUCCGGACCUCACGGAUCCACACUUUGGCUUUUUAUCUGUUGUGUCCUCAUUUCUCAAACUUGGAAAUUUCCAUGCAAACAGAGCUGCAGAAGGAAAAAAAUGUGUUCCAGUUUGCCAGUAGAAAUACAAUGCAAGACACAUGAGUAAUCAUGUAUCUUCCAGGAGCUGUGCAUUAGAACUGUAAUAAGAAACAGGGCACUGGGAGACUUGGUCACUUCCGGAAAGGUCAUUACUUACUUUGGAAAUGAGGGGAACAUGUUACACUAUCAUGGAUGUGGCGAAGCAAGUCCUGCACACAUCAUACCGGUGAAUUUCCUGUCGGACCCUCUGUGUUCCACAAGCCAGAACACUGACAAUCUUAUACUCUGCUUAUCCGGUGGAGAUGCCCAGGUGCGCACAGGCAGCCCCACAGUGGUGUCAGGAAGGGAGGCCCUGUCCUGAGAGCUCCAAACACAGAGUGGGUUGGGAGAGGGCCGCCCUCUGGGAGGGCCCGCACAGUCUCAACCAGAUGAAGUGCGCUUCGUAACAUUUCAGGUCAUGUGAAACCCAAGGAAAUAAAAGAAACCACGACAAACACAAAAGCAACCAGUUAUUGGUUAAGGAAAAACUCCUCAGGGAUCAGGCCAGUGGAGUUGUGAAAUCUAAAAUUCUUGCUAUAAAUGCAUUUCAACUGCUAAAACAGGG
Molecule: long non-coding RNA, 1445 nt
Filed under: Heterocephalus glaber (naked mole-rat)
Lineage: Eukaryota; Metazoa; Chordata; Mammalia; Rodentia; Bathyergidae
Description: lncRNA (ENSHGLG00000048448.1)
Source: RNAcentral